RNAcentral lists this long non-coding RNA (1809 nucleotides) under Brassica napus (rape). RNAcentral describes it as "long non-coding RNA (BNAP_LNC003788)". The record is from RNAcentral. Lineage: Eukaryota; Viridiplantae; Streptophyta; Magnoliopsida; Brassicales; Brassicaceae.
UAACCAGUUAUACUUCACAGAUUUUUAAAGUUCCUAUAGUCAUUUGUCAUCAUCGACAACCACCUAUUUUCAAAGGUGAGAUUUCUCAAAUUUCAUAUUCUCAGAAAUCCUCAUCCACAACUUUCUACACAUCAUCAAGGCAUAGAAAGUUUUUUUCAUAACAUAUAAAUUUUCUACGUGUCUUUUAUCCAUUAUAUUUUUAAAUACUUUUUUCAUAUUUGCUGUAGAUGGAAGGACAAAAUGUUACAAAAUAUGAAAAAGAAGCUACACAAGAUGAUGAUAAUUUUGGCAAUAUUUCAGAAAAGAAGAUAAAUCAAACUUCACUAUAUCAAGACUGGAUGGAAGUUAAUAAUAAGAACAAAGCUAAGAGUCAACAUGAAAAUAAUUCCAGUUCAAGAGAAUUGUUUUAUCUGAAUCUUCUUUUAAAUAAGAUCAAAGGACCGAGAAGCUACGAGAAUAUACGAACUGUUAAUGGUUUUUUGUAUCCUACCUUCGAAGAGGCCUAUAAUGCUCUUCUUAUCCCUUAUAUACUAAAGCGCAAGUCGCAUCACCAAUCUAAAGCUGACAUGUGGAAAAUUUAUUUUAAAAAAAAAUUAAUAAAAUACAGAAAAAUAAAACACGUUACCAAAACAAAAUAUGGAAUUUUAAAAAUAAGACAAAUAACCAACCUUUUACGAUUAUUGGUAAAGAAUUUUUUUAUGAAUUUUUUUUUUGCAUCUCCUAUUUUCCUGGAGUCUAAAUAUAAACUAACAAUUUUCUUAUUUUUUUCAUGGGCAAUAAAACUCUGACACAUGGUAUAUAUUUAAAAUUUCAAAUUAAAAAUACAAAUUCACAAAAAGCUUUGUAACACAACCGUUGUUUUUUAAAAUAACUUAUUUCUAUUAUUUUUACAUAUAUAUCAAGAUAAAAUAAAAAUCAAUAAUAUCUCUCCCACUACUUCAUAAUCUCAAAAUCUGAAACCGUUAUGACUUUCUCUUUACAAUAUUUGACUCACUAUGCUAUCAGUUCUUCUCAGUCUGCAAUUGCUCCACUGACUUUUUUUAUCGGAGUUUGAAGAAAAUUCAAUCUCCAACAAGACAGCUGGCCAAGCAGUGGCAGCAAUACUCUUAAAAGAACAUCUUGGAAAGUUGGCAGAUGAAGUUAAAAUUCAGGUUAGUAAAACUAAUUAAAUACGCUCAAACUGUUCAAUUCUUAAAUCAUAAUUUAUGUCAUGUUGAUUUUUUUUUUCAUGAACCUUUUUUCUUUUAUAACCUACUUAUAAUUUUUUUUUUCUUUUUCUUAAUCCUCAUCCACAACUUUCUACACAUCAUCAAGGCAUAGAAAGUUUUUUUCAUAACAUAUAAAUUUUCUACGUGUCUUUUAUCCAUUAUAUUUUUAAAUACUUUUUUCAUAUUUGCUGUAGAUGGAAGGACAAAAUGUUACAAAAUAUGAAAAAGAAGCUACACAAGAUGAUGAUAAUUUUGACAAUAUUUCAGAAAAGAAGAUAAAUCAAACUUCACUAUAUCAAGACUGGAUGGAAGUUAAUAAUAAGAACAAAGCUAAGAGUCAACAUGAAAAUAAUUCCAGUUCAAGAGAAUUGUUUUAUCUGAAUCUUCUUUUAAAUAAGAUCAAAGGACCGAGAAGCUACGAGAAUAUACGAACUGUUAAUGGUUUUUUGUAUCCUACCUUCGAAGAGGCCUAUAAUGCUCUUCUUAUCCCUUAUAUACUAAAGCGCAAGUCGCAUCACCAAUCUAAAGCUGACAUGUGGAAAAUUUAUUUAAAAAAAAAAUUAAUAAAAUACAGAAAAAUAAAACAUGUUACCAAAACAAA